Molecule: small RNA, 83 nt
Filed under: Sinorhizobium meliloti 2011
Lineage: Bacteria; Pseudomonadati; Pseudomonadota; Alphaproteobacteria; Hyphomicrobiales; Rhizobiaceae
Description: putative ncRNA
Source: RNAcentral
AAUGGAACUUGCGGAUAUUGGGACGGACCUUCAUCAGCAGGUCCGCUGCCUUUUCGAGAUCCGCCUGGUCGUGGCUGUCGGGA